Molecule: signal recognition particle RNA, 97 nt
Filed under: Gammaproteobacteria bacterium
Lineage: Bacteria; Pseudomonadati; Pseudomonadota; Gammaproteobacteria
Description: signal recognition particle sRNA small type
Rfam family: Bacterial small signal recognition particle RNA
About the family: The signal recognition particle (SRP) is a universally conserved ribonucleoprotein involved in the co-translational targeting of proteins to membranes. Archaeal SRP consists of a 7S RNA and homologues of the eukaryotic SRP19 and SRP54 proteins.
Source: RNAcentral
UGCCGGUCCCCUCGCAAUGAUAGGUUGUGAACCCCGCCAGGCCCGGAAGGGAGCAACGGUAAUAGCUGACUCAUGUGCCGUGGUUAGGCUGGCAGGG